Molecule: RNA transcript, 840 nt
Organism: Mandrillus leucophaeus (drill)
Lineage: Eukaryota; Metazoa; Chordata; Mammalia; Primates; Cercopithecidae
Gene name: nuclear nucleic acid-binding protein C1D pseudogene
Exons: 1
Source: RefSeq, a predicted model, not a curated record
GUGCAUCAUUGACGUCAUCGUUGCCGGACCGCUUUCUAGGAGACUGGAGUCGAAGGCCGUGAGUCAGCCAUAAUGGCAGCUGAAGAAAUUAAUGAGGACUAUCCAGUAGAAAUUCACGAAUAUUUGUCAGCGUUUGGGAAUUCCAUUGAUGCUGUGGAUGAGAUGCUGAAGAACAUGAUGUCUGUUUCUAGAAAUGAGUUGUUGCAGAAGUUGGACCCACUUGAACAAGCAAAAGUGGAUUUGGUUUCUGCAUACACAUUAAAUUCAAUGUUUUGGGUUUAUCUGGCAACUCAAGGAGUGAAUCCUAAGGAACAUCCAGUAAAGCAGGAAUUGGAAAGAAUCAGAGUAUAUAUGAACAGAGUCAAGGAAAUGACAGACAAGAAAAAGGCAGGCAAGCUGGACAGAGGUGCAGCUUCAAGAUUUGUAAAAAAUGCCCUCUGGGAACCAAAACCGAAAAAUGCAUCAAAAGUUGCCAAUAAAGGAAAAAGUAAAAGUUAACUUUUUGUUUUUUAUGUACACAUAUUCAAAAAGUACAUCUUUUUUUUUCCCACAAAAUAAUUCUGUGGUAGUGCAAGGUUUAAAUGUAGUCCUUAUUGAAUUAAUAUGUAAAUUUACAGUAAAUUUGUAAAGCGAAAUACUUUCCUCUCCAAAGGGUGUUAUCUUUAUUGAUUUGCACUGUGAGGGUUUUAACAUUGUGAUAUAUUUUAUAUUUACAAUUUACCAUGUCUUUUGAUGAGACUCUUAUUUCUUUAUAGAGGUCAGUCUUGCAAGUACCAUUUUCUAAGCAACUGUGAAAUUUAAGUGAAAUGUUCUUUGUAAAUAUUUGUACCAUUUUAAAUG